GACGAACGCUGGCGGCGUGCUUAACACAUGCAAGUCGACCGGUAAGGCCCCAUUUUGCUUGGGUACACGAGUGGCGAACGGGUGAGUAACACGUGGGUGACCUGCCCCGCACUUCGGGAUAAGCUUGGGAAACUGGGUCUAAUACCGGAUACGACUGCUCCGUGAGGGUGUGGUUGUAAGAUCUUGGGUUUGGGAUGGGCCCGGGGCCUAUCAGUUUGCUGGUGGGGGAAUGGCCUACCAAGGCGGCCACGGGUAGCUGGCCUGAGAGGGGGGACGGCCAAAAUGGGACUGGGACACGGCCCAUAAUCCUACGGGAGGCAGCAGGGGGGAAAAUUGCACAAUGGGAGGAAGAGUGAGGCAGAGACGCCGCGUGGGGGAGAACGGCCUUCGGGGUGUAAACAGCUUUCUCCGUUGAGAAGGAUUAACUGACGGUAGAUGGAGAAGAAGCACCGGCUAACUACGUG
This 464-nucleotide ribosomal RNA is filed under the name uncultured bacterium. RNAcentral describes it as "partial 16S ribosomal RNA". It matches the Rfam family "Bacterial small subunit ribosomal RNA", at positions 28 to 507 of the family's 1533-position model. The record is from RNAcentral.